This is a non-coding RNA of Rattus norvegicus (Norway rat), 606 nucleotides long. Lineage: Eukaryota; Metazoa; Chordata; Mammalia; Rodentia; Muridae. The record is from RefSeq and is a predicted model, not a curated record.
CUACAAUAUAAAAAAAAAAUCUAUUCACUGAGUAUGGUGGAGAAAGGGUUUCUGAGGUGAAUCCUGAGGGAAUCUGCUCUUCAAUAGAACAACUGAGCCAGGUUUUCUUCUGCAAACUGAACAUCACGGUGAGUCCAUUUUCAGAGAGAAGAACGAGGAAAAGGAAGAAGGUGACAGGACAUGAAUGCACAGAAGGAGGGAGAGGAGACGGAGUUGGGCAAUGCUCUUUGGAAAUGUCAAGGCAGUUGGAAGAGUUGGAAGGUUGCUUUUAUCGUGAGCAUGUAUACGUUUAAUCUAUUUCUACUCCUGCUGUGGAAGUUGGAGCAGAAAAUAAGACGCAAAUAAGAGAGGAGAAAAAAAAAACAGGAAAAGCAAGAGACUGGCUUGGAAAAUGGUAAUGAAGAAGCAGUUCAGUGAUAAUCACCUCAACUACUGGAGACUGAGAAGCAAAUCUACCACAAAAAGGCAGAAAAAUACAGAUUCAGAAAGGAAAAAAAAACAGACUGACUAAAACCAACCAACAAAAAUGAACAAGCCACCCAAUAGCUCCAUCUCCUAAUAAAUAAAUAAAUAAACAAACAAAUAAAUAAUAAAUAAAUAAAUAAA